RNA transcript from Otolemur garnettii (small-eared galago), 396 nucleotides. It is a transcript of the gene named interferon-induced transmembrane protein 3 pseudogene, with no coding region annotated. The record is from RefSeq and is a predicted model, not a curated record. Lineage: Eukaryota; Metazoa; Chordata; Mammalia; Primates; Galagidae. The transcript has a single exon.
AUGAACCACCCUUCCCAAAAUAUCUUCCCACAAACCCACCCAGGGCUCCCCCCGAACUAUGAGACGCUCAAGGAAGAGCACGAGGUGGCCGUGCUGAGGACGACCCCCAACCCUGCUCCCACCGUGAUCCACAUCCAGAGUGAGACCGCUGUGCCCGACCACGUCGUCUGGUCCCUGUUCAACGCGCUCUUCAUGAACUGCUGCUGCCUGGGCUUCAUAGCGUUCGCCUACUCCGUGAAGUCUAGGGAUAGGAAGAUGGUGGGCGACCUGGCUGGAGCCAAGACCUACGCCUCCACUGCCAAGUGCCUGAACAUCUGGGCCCUGGUCCUCAGCCUCAUUGGGGCGGCUAUUCUGCUCAUAGCCAUCCCACUGUUCGUCACCCGGUCGCGUGGAUAG